This 1566-nucleotide ribosomal RNA is filed under the name metagenome. Its description in RNAcentral is "bacterial LSU rRNA". It matches the Rfam family "Bacterial large subunit ribosomal RNA", at positions 1272 to 2925 of the family's 2925-position model. The record is from RNAcentral.
CCGGAAGCUGUGAGAAGUGAGGAUGCAGACAUAAGUAACGACAAGGAUGGUAAAAUACCAUCCCGCCGAAUACCCAAGGUUUCCUGGGCAACGUUGUGCGCCCCAGGGUUAGCCGGAACCUAAGUCGUAGCCGAAUGGCGUAGACGAUGGACAGCGGGUUAAUACUCCCGCGCCGACACAGUGAUUAGCGCGCAAUGUACGGGCUUUCAGCAAAGCGCCCCUGAUUGACUUGGGGGGCUGGUUCGCCAGCCGGGUUUUGCUGGAUCUCGUCAAGAAAACAUUGUGUGUAUGCCUGGUCGUCCGUACCGCAAACCAACACAGGUGGGUGCGCUUAAUAUGCGAAGGCGAAAGAGUGAAACCUCGUUAAGGAACUCUGCAAUCUAGUCCCGUAACUUAGGGAGAAGGGAUGCCUGGUAAAACAGGUCGCAGUGAAUUGGGUCAACCGACUGUUUAUCAAAAACACAGCAUUGUGCAAAGACGAAAGUCUAAGUAUACGAUGUGACACGUGACCAAUGCGGAAAGAUUAAGGCAAAAGGUCAGUUGCAAAACAAAGCUUUGAACCUAAGUCCCCGUGAAUGACGGCCGUAACUAUAACGGUCCUAAGGUAGCGAAAUUCCUUGUCGGGUAAGUUCCGACCUGCACGAAUCGUGUAACGAGUUGACCACUGUCUCAACGAGGCGCUCAGUGAAUUAGUAGUGGCGGUGUAGAUGCCGCCUACCCGCAGAAGGACGGAAAGACCCUAUGCACCUUAACUGUAAGCUGUCACUGUUUCACUGAUUUCAAUGCUCAGCAUAAGUGGGAGACUUCGAAGUUGGGCUUUAGGGUUCAACAGAGUCAACAGUGAGAUACCACCCUUUGGUAUUGGUGAAUCUAACAGUGUUGCACCAAAAUGCAGCGCAGGACAAUGGCAGCCGGUCAGUUUUACUGGGGCGGUAUCCUCCCAAAAUGUAACGGAGGAGCGCGAAGGUGUGCUCAGCGCGGUUGGCAAUCGCGUAUUGAGUGUAUAGGCAAAAGCACGCCUAACUGUGAGACCCACGGGUCGAGCAGAUACGAAAGUAGGCCUAAGUGAUCCGGCGGUUUAAUGUGGAAUUGCCGUCGCUUAACGGAUAAAAGGUACGCUAGGGAUAACAGGCUGAUUUGACCCAAGAGUUCAUAUCGACGGUUAAGUUUGGCACCUCGAUGUCGGCUCGUCGCAUCCUGGGGCUGGAGAAGCUCCCAAGGGUUCGGCUGUUCGCCGAUGAAAGUGGUACGUGAGCUGGGUUCAGACCGUCGUGAGACAGGUCGGUCCCUAUCUGCUGUGGGCGGAGGAAACUUGAGGGGCUUUCUCCCUAGUACGAGAGGACUGGGAGGGACGCACCGCUGGUGUACCAGUUAUGGCGCUAGCCGUACCGCUGGGUAGCCACGUGCGGAAUGGAUAAACGCUGAAAGCAUAUAAGCGUGAAACUUCCCCCAAGAUCAGGUUUCCCGACAAGAAGACUCCUCGUAGACUACGAGGUCGAUAGGCCGGGUGUGUAAGUGCAGUAAUGCACUCAGCUAACCGGUACUAACAGUCGAGCGCUUGGCCAC